This 472-nucleotide ribosomal RNA is filed under the name uncultured bacterium. RNAcentral's name for it is "partial 16S ribosomal RNA". It matches the Rfam family "Bacterial small subunit ribosomal RNA", at positions 28 to 507 of the family's 1533-position model. The record is from RNAcentral.
GACAAACGCUGGCGGCGUGCUUAACACAUGCAAGUCGAACGCUGAAGCUUGGUGCUUGCACUGGGUGGAUGAGUGGCGAACGGGUGAGUAAUACGUGAGUAACCUGCCCUUGACUCUGGGAUAAGCCUGGGAAACUGGGUCUAAUACUGGAUACGACAUGUCACCGCAUGGUGGUGUGUGGAAAGGGUUUUACUGGUUUUGGAUGGGCUCACGGCCUAUCAGCUUGUUGGUGGGGUAAUGGCUCACCAAGGCGACGACGGGUAGCCGGCCUGAGAGGGUGACCGGCCACACUGGGACUGAGACACGGCCCAGACUCCUACGGGAGGCAGCAGUGGGGAAUAUUGCACAAUGGGCGGAAGCCUGAUGCAGCGACGCCGCGUGAGGGAUGACGGCCUUCGGGUUGUAAACCUCUUUCAGCACGGAAGAAGCGAAAGUGACGGUACGUGCAGAAGAAGCGCCGGCUAACUACGUG